RNAcentral lists this ribosomal RNA (1401 nucleotides) under Triticum aestivum (bread wheat). RNAcentral's name for it is "partial small subunit ribosomal RNA". The record is from RNAcentral. Lineage: Eukaryota; Viridiplantae; Streptophyta; Magnoliopsida; Poales; Poaceae.
AUGUUAGAUUUUUCCGUCUGCUCCCCGUGCUCUGGGCUUUCCCUCCCUCCGACAUGGCCGGCGACCCCCGCACCCGCGCCGCCGGUGACCACUUCCCCUUCCACUCCUCCCCUGCCGCCGUCCUCGUGCCCGGGGGCGGCCUCCGCCUGGGGCCCUCCAGGCUUCUCCUGCACCUGCUCCUCCUCCACUCGCUCUUAUAACCCUGCGCCCCCCGCCGCCAGGCCAUGGCCGCCGUCUUCUACCACCACGUCGUCGGCGACCUCACCGUCGGCAAGCCCGAGAUCGCCGAGCUCAGCGACGCCGACACGCUCGACGACGCGGCGCGGGCCAUCGCCGGCAGCCCGGAGGGCGCCGUGCCCGUCUGGCGCGCGCGGGCCGCCCUCCGGGGCCCGCUUCCUCGGCAUGAUCUCCGCCGUCGACAUCGCCGCCUUCCUCGCCGGCGCCGGCGACCGCGCCAUGCGCGCCGCCGUCGGCGAGGUCGUGCAGCCCAACCAGGACCUGCUCCGGGAGGUCGAUCCCGGCACCAGGUUGAUCGAUGCGCUGGAGUUGAUGAGGAAUGGAGUGAAGCGCUUCCUUGUCCGCAAGAACGGCUCCUGGACAGGCAUCACCAAGCGGUUUUCUAUGCUUUACAACAGGAAAUGGAUGAAGAACUCAGAAUCGGGAUCCCCAAGCUCAGCUGGCAGCAGCAGCAUGCAGUUGUCCCCAUUUAUCAGUUGCGCGGAGAGGUUUUGCUGCCUGUCAAGGGAAGACAUCCUCCGAUUCCUGAUCGGGUGCCUCGGCGCCCUGGCGCCCAUCCCACUGUCUCCAAUCUGUACCCUCGGAGCCAUCAACCCGCACUACUGCCACGUCGAGGCGUCUGCGCCAGCCAUGGAGGCGAUCCAGAAGAUCCCUGGGGACCCGUGCGGCGUGGCCGUGGUCGAGACGAUGCCGGACGGGGUCCGCAAGAUCAUCGGGGACAUCUCUGCCUACAAGCUGUGGAAGUGCGACUACGUCGCGGCAGCGUGGGCGCUGGCGAACCUGUCAGCGGGGCAGUUUGUCAUCGGCGCCGACGAGAACGGGUCGACCCCCAUCUCCGCCUUCCCGCUGCCUUCCAUCAGCUCGUCGCUGUCGGAGGAGGCCGCCGAGCCCGGGCGCUCUCCCAGGCUGCUUAAGAAGUUCAGCAGCAGGAACAUCGGGUUCCUGAACAGCCAGGCGAACCAGGUGCGGAGCAUGUACCGGGGCCGGAGCUCGCCGCUGAUGUGCCGGAGCACGAGCUCGCUCGCGGCCGUCAUGGCGCAGAUGCUGUCCCACCGGGCGACUCACGUGUGGGUGACAGACGCGGAGGCCGAGGAGGACGACGUCCUCGUCGGCGUGGUGGGGUACACGGACAUCUUCGCAGCCGUUACCCGGAGCAGCGCCUGA